This 1451-nucleotide ribosomal RNA is filed under the name Staphylococcus aureus M1563. Its description in RNAcentral is "16S ribosomal RNA". It matches the Rfam family "Bacterial small subunit ribosomal RNA". Lineage: Bacteria; Bacillati; Bacillota; Bacilli; Caryophanales; Staphylococcaceae. The record is from RNAcentral. RNAcentral also lists the same sequence under 1 other name.
UUAGCGGCGGACGGGUGAGUAACACGUGGAUAACCUACCUAUAAGACUGGGAUAACUUCGGGAAACCGGAGCUAAUACCGGAUAAUAUUUUGAACCGCAUGGUUCAAAAGUGAAAGACGGUCUUGCUGUCACUUAUAGAUGGAUCCGCGCUGCAUUAGCUAGUUGGUAAGGUAACGGCUUACCAAGGCAACGAUGCAUAGCCGACCUGAGAGGGUGAUCGGCCACACUGGAACUGAGACACGGUCCAGACUCCUACGGGAGGCAGCAGUAGGGAAUCUUCCGCAAUGGGCGAAAGCCUGACGGAGCAACGCCGCGUGAGUGAUGAAGGUCUUCGGAUCGUAAAACUCUGUUAUUAGGGAAGAACAUAUGUGUAAGUAACUGUGCACAUCUUGACGGUACCUAAUCAGAAAGCCACGGCUAACUACGUGCCAGCAGCCGCGGUAAUACGUAGGUGGCAAGCGUUAUCCGGAAUUAUUGGGCGUAAAGCGCGCGUAGGCGGUUUUUUAAGUCUGAUGUGAAAGCCCACGGCUCAACCGUGGAGGGUCAUUGGAAACUGGAAAACUUGAGUGCAGAAGAGGAAAGUGGAAUUCCAUGUGUAGCGGUGAAAUGCGCAGAGAUAUGGAGGAACACCAGUGGCGAAGGCGACUUUCUGGUCUGUAACUGACGCUGAUGUGCGAAAGCGUGGGGAUCAAACAGGAUUAGAUACCCUGGUAGUCCACGCCGUAAACGAUGAGUGCUAAGUGUUAGGGGGUUUCCGCCCCUUAGUGCUGCAGCUAACGCAUUAAGCACUCCGCCUGGGGAGUACGACCGCAAGGUUGAAACUCAAAGGAAUUGACGGGGACCCGCACAAGCGGUGGAGCAUGUGGUUUAAUUCGAAGCAACGCGAAGAACCUUACCAAAUCUUGACAUCCUUUGACAACUCUAGAGAUAGAGCCUUCCCCUUCGGGGGACAAAGUGACAGGUGGUGCAUGGUUGUCGUCAGCUCGUGUCGUGAGAUGUUGGGUUAAGUCCCGCAACGAGCGCAACCCUUAAGCUUAGUUGCCAUCAUUAAGUUGGGCACUCUAAGUUGACUGCCGGUGACAAACCGGAGGAAGGUGGGGAUGACGUCAAAUCAUCAUGCCCCUUAUGAUUUGGGCUACACACGUGCUACAAUGGACAAUACAAAGGGCAGCGAAACCGCGAGGUCAAGCAAAUCCCAUAAAGUUGUUCUCAGUUCGGAUUGUAGUCUGCAACUCGACUACAUGAAGCUGGAAUCGCUAGUAAUCGUAGAUCAGCAUGCUACGGUGAAUACGUUCCCGGGUCUUGUACACACCGCCCGUCACACCACGAGAGUUUGUAACACCCGAAGCCGGUGGAGUAACCUUUUAGGAGCUAGCCGUCGAAGGUGGGACAAAUGAUUGGGGUGAAGUCGUAACAAGGUAGCCGUAUCGGAAGGUGCGGCUGGAUCACCU